AACGAACGCUGGCGGCAUGCCUAACACAUGCAAGUCGAACGAGACCUUCGGGUCUAGUGGCGCACGGGUGCGUAACGCGUGGGAACCUGCCCUUAGGUUCGGAAUAACUCCCCGAAAGGGGUGCUAAUACCGGAUAAUGUCUUCGGACCAAAGAUUUAUCGCCUUUGGAUGGGCCCGCGUUGGAUUAGCUAGUUGGUAGGGUAAAAGCCUACCAAGGCGACGUUCCAUAGCUGGUCUGAGAGGAUGAUCAGCCACACUGGGACUGAGACACGGCCCAGACUCCUACGGGAGGCAGCAGUGGGGAAUAUUGGACAAUGGGCGAAAGCCUGAUCCAGCAAUGCCGCGUGAGUGAUGAAGGCCUUAGGGUUGUAAAGCUCUUUUACCCGAGAUGAUAAUGACAGUACCGGGAGAAUAAGCUCCGGCUAACUCCGUG
Molecule: ribosomal RNA, 433 nt
Filed under: uncultured bacterium
Lineage: Bacteria
Description: partial 16S ribosomal RNA
Rfam family: Bacterial small subunit ribosomal RNA
Source: RNAcentral